GGUGAGGUGCCUGAGUGGCCGAAAGGAACGGUUUGCUAAACCGUCGUACGGGUAACACUGUACCGAGGGUUCGAAUCCCUCCCUCACCG
Molecule: transfer RNA, 89 nt
Filed under: Chitinophaga rupis
Lineage: Bacteria; Pseudomonadati; Bacteroidota; Chitinophagia; Chitinophagales; Chitinophagaceae
Also listed under: 5 other names
Description: Chitinophaga sp. CS5-B1 tRNA
Rfam family: tRNA
About the family: Transfer RNA (tRNA) molecules are approximately 80 nucleotides in length. Their secondary structure includes four short double-helical elements and three loops (D, anti-codon, and T loops). Further hydrogen bonds mediate the characteristic L-shaped molecular structure. tRNAs have two regions of fundamental functional importance: the anti-codon, which is responsible for specific mRNA codon recognition, and the 3' end, to which the tRNAs corresponding amino acid is attached (by aminoacyl-tRNA synthetases). tRNAs cope with the degeneracy of the genetic code in two manners: having more than one tRNA (with a specific anti-codon) for a particular amino acid; and 'wobble' base-pairing, i.e. permitting non-standard base-pairing at the 3rd anti-codon position.
Source: Rfam by way of RNAcentral